Molecule: unclassified non-coding RNA, 331 nt
Filed under: rhizosphere metagenome
Description: partial ribosomal RNA internal transcribed spacer region
Source: RNAcentral
GUAGGUGAACCUGCGGAAGGAUCAUUAACUAGUAUUGAAGUCCACGGGGUCAAGCUUUCCGAAAGGAGGGUGGGGGGAUGUUUGGUUCCCCCUGCUUGGGCAGACUGGAGAGCAUGGCGCAACCGGCACACCUAGUGUGUCGGCCAAGUCAUGUUUGGCCUCUGCUGAUCGAGCUUGUCACCUGAAUUCUACUACCCUUGCUUUUUGCGCACCCAUUGUUUCCUCGGCAGGCUUGCCUGCCAGUAGGACCUUUUAAAACCCUUUGUAAUUGCAAUCAGCGUCAGAAACAACGUAAUCGUUACAACUUUCAACAACGGAUCUCUUGGUUCUG